UGAUACAAGAAUAUGAAAUUUAAAUAGCAAAAGUAAGUUUCAAAUUACUUAAAACUUUCAAAUAUCGGGACAAGAAAUAGCGGAUAUGAAAAGAGAACGGACGAGUAAUUUAAUUAGUUAAUUACAGGCUAUAUAAUGUUAUUUUUAAAACAGAAAACAUGUAAAUGAUGUCAUUUAUAAUAAAAAAAAUAUGAUCUUAUCUUAGAGGGAAAGAACGGGUACAAAAAAGGAACGAGUAAUUAAAAAAUGUAUCUAAAUGAAUUCUCAUCAAAAACAAGAUGAUAUACAAAAUUUGGAAACUUCAAUUCAAUUUCAACUUUCAAAUAUCAAAUGACUGGUAUGAUACAGGAAUAUGAAAUUUAAAUAGCAAAAGUAAGUUUC
Molecule: long non-coding RNA, 381 nt
Filed under: Capsella rubella
Lineage: Eukaryota; Viridiplantae; Streptophyta; Magnoliopsida; Brassicales; Brassicaceae
Description: long non-coding RNA (CRUB_LNC000861)
Source: RNAcentral